AACGAACGCUGGCGGCAUGCCUAACACAUGCAAGUCGAACGAGACCUUCGGGUCUAGUGGCGCACGGGUGCGUAACGCGUGGGAACCUGCCCUUAUGGUCGGAAUAACUCCCCGAAAGGGGUGCUAAUACCGGAUAAUGUCUUCGGACCAAAGAUUUAUCGCCUUUGGAUGGGCCCGCGUUGGAUUAGCUAGUUGGUAGGGUAAAAGCCUACCAAGGCGACGAUCCAUAGCUGGUCUGGGAGGAUGAUCAGCCACACUGGGACUGAGACACGGCCCAGACUCCUACGGGAGGCAGCAGUGGGGAAUAUUGGACAAUGGGCGAAAGCCUGAUCCAGCAAUGCCGCGUGAGUGAUGAAGGCCUUAGGGUUGUAAAGCUCUUUUACCCGGGAUGAUAAUGACAGUACCGGGAGAAUAAGCUCCGGCUAUCUCCGUG
RNAcentral lists this ribosomal RNA (433 nucleotides) under uncultured bacterium. RNAcentral describes it as "partial 16S ribosomal RNA". It matches the Rfam family "Bacterial small subunit ribosomal RNA", at positions 29 to 507 of the family's 1533-position model. The record is from RNAcentral.